AGACCCGAAACCCGGUGAUCUAGCCAUGGGCAGGUUGAAGGUUGGGUAACACUAACUGGAGGACCGAACCGACUAAUGUUGAAAAAUUAGCGGAUGACCUGUGGCUGGGGGUGAAAGGCCAAUCAAACCGGGAGAUAGCUGGUUCUCCCCGAAAGCUAUUUAGGUAGCGCCUCGUGAAUUCAUCUCCGGGGGUAGAGCACUGUUUCGGCUAGGGGGCCAUCCCGGCUUACCAACCCGAUGCAAACUGCGAAUACCGGAGAAUGUUAUCACGGGAGACACACGGCGGGUGCUAACGUCCGUCGUGAAGAGGGAAACAACCCAGACCGCCAGCUAAGGUCCCAAAGUCAUGGUUAAGUGGGAAACGAUGUGGGAAGGCCCAGACAGCCAGGAUGUUGGCUUAGAAGCAGCCAUCAUUUAAAGAAAGCGUAAUAGCUCACUGGUCGAGUCGGCCUGCGCGGAAGAUGUAACGGGGCUAAACCAUGCACCGAAGCUGCGGCAGCGAACGUAUCACCCAAGACAACUUUACGGAGUUGACGAUUGACGGAGCGAAGCGACGUCAAAGCGUUCAUUAAAGUCGAGUUGGCUUAGGGAUACGUUCGUUGGGUAGGGGAGC
Molecule: ribosomal RNA, 613 nt
Filed under: Salmonella enterica
Lineage: Bacteria; Pseudomonadati; Pseudomonadota; Gammaproteobacteria; Enterobacterales; Enterobacteriaceae
Also listed under: 2 other names
Description: partial 23S ribosomal RNA
Rfam family: Bacterial large subunit ribosomal RNA
Source: RNAcentral